GACGAACGCUGGCGGCGUGCUUAACACUGCAAGUCGAACGGAAAGGCCCUGCUUUUGUGGGGUGCUCGAGUGGCGAACGGGUGAGUAACACGUGAGUAACCUGCCCUUGACUUUGGGAUAACUUCAGGAAACUGGGGCUAAUACCGGAUAGGAGCUCCUGCUGCAUGGUGGGGGUUGGAAAGUUUCGGCGGUUGGGGAUGGACUCGCGGCUUAUCAGCUUGUUGGUGGGGUAGUGGCUUACCAAGGCUUUGACGGGUAGCCGGCCUGAGAGGGUGACCGGCCACAUUGGGACUGAGAUACGGCCCAGACUCCUACGGGAGGCAGCAGUGGGGAAUAUUGCACAAUGGGCGGAAGCCUGAUGCAGCAACGCCGCGUGCGGGAUGACGGCCUUCGGGUUGUAAACCGCUUUCGCCUGUGACGAAGCGUGAGUGACGGUAAUGGGUAAAGAAGCACCGGCUAACUACGUG
RNAcentral lists this ribosomal RNA (467 nucleotides) under uncultured bacterium. Its description in RNAcentral is "partial 16S ribosomal RNA". It matches the Rfam family "Bacterial small subunit ribosomal RNA", at positions 28 to 507 of the family's 1533-position model. The record is from RNAcentral.